UGGGGAAUAUUGCACAAUGGGCGCAAGCCUGAUGCAGCCAUGCCGCGUGUGUGAAGAAGGCCUUCGGGUUGUAAAGCACUUUCAGCGGGGAGGAAGGCGGUGAGGUUAAUAACCUCACCGAUUGACGUUACCCGCAGAAGAAGCACCGGCUAACUCCGUGCCAGCAGCCGCGGUAAUACGGAGGGUGCAAGCGUUAAUCGGAAUUACUGGGCGUAAAGCGCACGCAGGCGGUCUGUCAAGUCGGAUGUGAAAUCCCCGGGCUCAACCUGGGAACUGCCUUCGAAACUGGCAGGCUAGAGUCUUGUAGAGGGGGGUAGAAUUCCAGGUGUAGCGGUGAAAUGCGUAGAGAUCUGGAGGAAUACCGGUGGCGAAGGCGGCCCCCUGGACAAAGACUGACGCUCAGGUGCGAAAGCGUGGGGAGCAAACAGG
This 429-nucleotide ribosomal RNA is filed under the name Chloroflexota bacterium. RNAcentral's name for it is "Chloroflexi bacterium partial 16S ribosomal RNA". It matches the Rfam family "Bacterial small subunit ribosomal RNA", at positions 355 to 776 of the family's 1533-position model. The record is from RNAcentral. Lineage: Bacteria; Bacillati; Chloroflexota.